GAUGAACGCUAGCUACAGGCUUAACACAUGCAAGUCGCGGGGCAGCAUGGGGGUUGCUUGCAAUCCCCGAUGGCGACCGGCGCACGGGUGAGUAACGCGUAUCCAACCUGCCCUUCACCACGGGAUAACCCGGCGAAAGUCGGACUAAUACCGUAUGUUGUCCAUUGACGGCCUCCGAUUUGGACGAACGGUUUGGCGGGGAAGGAUGGGGAUGCGUCCGAUUAGCUGGACGGCGGGGUGACGGCCCACCGUGGCGACGAUCGGUAGGGGUUCUGAGAGGAAGGUCCCCCACACUGGAACUGAGACACGGUCCAGACUCCUACGGGAGGCAGCAGUGAGGAAUAUUGGUCAAUGGGCGUAAGCCUGAACCAGCCAAGUAGCGUGCAGGAUGACGGCCCUAUGGGUUGUAAACUGCUUUUAUGCGGGGAUAAAGUGGCCCACGUGUGGGUUUUUGCAGGUACCGCAUGAAUAAGGACCGGCUAAUUCCGUG
Molecule: ribosomal RNA, 490 nt
Filed under: uncultured bacterium
Lineage: Bacteria
Description: partial 16S ribosomal RNA
Rfam family: Bacterial small subunit ribosomal RNA
Source: RNAcentral